CCUACGGGUGGCAGCAGUGAGGAAUAUUGGACAAUGGGCGCUAGCCUGAACCAGCCAAGUAGCGUGAAGGAUGACUGCCCUCUGGGUUGUAAACUUCUUUUAUAUGGGAAUAAAGUGCAGUAUGUAUACUGCUUUGCAUGUACCUUAUGAAUAAGGGUCGGCUAACUCCGUGCCAGCAGCCGCGGUAAUACGGAGGGUCCCAGCGUUAUCCGGAUUUAUUGGGUUUAAAGGGAGCGUAGGCGGGUGGUUGAGUCAGUUGUGAAAGUUUGCGGCUCAACCGGAAUAUUGCAGUUGAUACUGGCAUCCUUGAGUACAGUAGAGGUAAGCGGAAGUCGUGGUGUAGCGGUGAAAUGCGUAGAUAUCACGAAGAACACCGAUGGCGAAGGCGGCCUGCUGGACUGUAACUGACGCUGAUGCUCGAAAGUGUGGGGAUCAAACAGGAUUAGAUACCCUAGUAGUC
RNAcentral lists this ribosomal RNA (460 nucleotides) under uncultured bacterium. Its description in RNAcentral is "partial 16S ribosomal RNA". It matches the Rfam family "Bacterial small subunit ribosomal RNA", at positions 338 to 795 of the family's 1533-position model. The record is from RNAcentral.